Molecule: ribosomal RNA, 492 nt
Filed under: uncultured bacterium
Lineage: Bacteria
Description: partial 16S ribosomal RNA
Rfam family: Bacterial small subunit ribosomal RNA
Source: RNAcentral
AGUGAACGCUGGCGGUAGGCCUAACACAUGCAAGUCGAACGGCAGCACAGUAAGAGCUUGCUCUUACGGGUGGCGAGUGGCGGACGGGUGAGGAAUACAUCGGAAUCUACUUUUUCGUGGGGGAUAACGUAGGGAAACUUACGCUAAUACCGCAUACGACCUACGGGAGAAAGCAGGGGAUCGUCGGACCUUGCGCGACUGAAUGAGCCGAUGUCGGAUUAGCUAGUUGGCGGGGUAAAGGCCCACCAAGGCGACGAUCCGUAGCUGGUCUGAGAGGGUGAUCAGCCACACUGGAACUGAGACACGGUCCAGACUCCUACGGGAGGCAGCAGUGGGGAAUAUUGGACAAUGGGCGCAAGCCUGAUCCAGCCAUACCGCGUGGGUGAAGAAGGCCUUCGGGUUGUAAAGCCCUUUUGUUGGGAAAGAAAAGCAGCAGGUUAAUACCCCGCUGUUCUGACGGUACCCAAAGAAUAAGCACCGGCUAACUUCGUG